Meleagris gallopavo (turkey) is the source of this 4556-nucleotide non-coding RNA. The record is from RefSeq and is a predicted model, not a curated record. NCBI's taxonomy places the organism in Eukaryota, Metazoa, Chordata, Aves, Galliformes, Phasianidae.
CCUAUGCACUGAGACCUCAGUUUCCACUUCCAUCAUACUGUCAGCAUCCCCUGCAUCUUGCUCUGCUCCAUGAGGCUCUCUGGACAUGAACAAGUACAGAUUUCUGCAAAUAGCUGCUUAAGCACUGGCAGUUCCACCAGUGAAAACAUUUUGGUGUAGCUGUGUUCUCUGAGUAAUGAGAAAACUCAGAUUCAUAUGGGAUACAUUCAUAUGGGACACAUUGGUCUGAAUGUAAAUAUUCACCCUGUUUGAUGAAGGAGUCUUAGAUGAACUGGAAUGUAAGUUUACAUUAUGGGCCUCCAAUGCUGUGCUUGCGUAGUCUGUAAUCGAAAGGUUUCAGGUGAGCCAUGCAGUUGCAUUAAGCCAGCUUUGAGGCACUGUCUGUUAGAAGUGAAUAGUUACCUGAGAUUGCUGAGUAUCAUUCAAAAUUUAAAACCUAUCUAAUGUGUAAGAUUUCUCUCAAGCAAUUUUAUAACCUCAUCUACUAAAGAAACAGCAAAAGACACACUAAAAUCAAUACAACGCUACAGCCGGGUAAUAUCACCCAUAUAUUUGAUUUGUUUAACUUCAAAAUAAGGAACUUUUUAAACAGCUGAACAUGUCUUGGCAUGCUGCCUUAUUACAUAUCACUAGCAGUUUAGAAUUUACUAGCAAGAUGUUAAGCCUUCCUAUUGCUUUUGCCUCAUUUCAGAAUUUAAGAUCAGGCUGAUUAUGCCAAGGGCUGAGAGAGCUGUUUACCUGCUUUAAUUCUGGUGCGCUCACUAAGUCUAGCCAUUAAAAUGCAGCCUGAGUAUCACUAUUUUGCAGAACUAAGCAUCACCUAAGUAGCUUUUUCUAGCAAGUAUCUGCUGUUGGCCAUGCACAAAACAAGUUUUAGGAAGGAGUUACAUAUCUGAAUUCCUUUUGCUAAAGGCCAUUAAAUCAUUACAAACAAUAUCUUCAAGAAUUUGGACUAGUGCAGAGUCCAUUUGUAUUCGGAUUUUGGAGCCCAUGUGCAGCUUUUUCUGUACCCUGAAACCUCCAAAUGGAUCCAGUCUUCCCUGGAGAUGUAUCCAGUUUUUCUAGAAAGGAUUCCAAAGGAAAGAUGAGACCCUCUCACGUGGGCUAAGACAAAGCCAUACUAUCAGGGAAAAAUGCUUUGUUACAUACAAGGUAUUUCUUCAUCUUAAGGUAAUUUCUAACAGAUUUUUUAUAUGCAUCAGGACAUCUCAAAGACCAUUUAGAGAUUGUUUUAUAUUUGCCUUACAUUAGUGAAAGUCCAUCUUCCUAUCAGAAAUGGCACACUGAGCAGCUCUGAAACCCCUGGUAUAAUUUUUGUUCAGACUAUUUCCUUUCCUAUUUUAAAGUGACAUAAAGAAUCCCUUUACAGUCAAUACUUGAGCAAAAACUUUAAAACCAAUCUUCAGACUGAUCGCCAGACAUCAUCGAAGUAAUAAUACCGGAUUUUUUUACAGGAGAAUUUGGCAUGAUGGAUGUACCCGAAAUAAGAAAUUAGAUAUCAUAUAAUGGGUACUAAUGCUGAAGGGAAAAUCAGAUAGAAUAUGACUAGUGCUAUUUAAAAAACAGAUGGAACACUUCCAUCUUUGACAAGAGUAAAGGAAAAAAAAAAAAAUUUGAAAAAAAUAUUAGCCAUCUUAGGCAGAGAAUACCUCACCUUCCAAAAUUUUAUGCUUUCAGUUUAUUUCAGUCUGUUGCGACCCAAAGGAAUAAAACAGUAAGGAAAACUCAUCAAUUUGACAUUCAGUACUUACAAUAAAAAGCAGAAGUCCAAUUCUCCUUCUGUUUAAAAAUGCAGAAACAAUUCUGGUGAAAAUGCUUGCACUUAUCUUCAGUGUGAAAACAUAAAAGAAUCUGGCAUGAGUUAAAUAAUUGCAGCGUAUCUAAAUACAUCUAGACUUAAAAUUUUCAAAGUUCCACUUUAAUUUUUGUUACAGUUGGAGCCAUUUACAUCCAAAAAGUUUUUCUCCCUUCUUUUGCUAGAUAAAUGACAUUUUAGAAAAUGUGGACAUACACAUGAAACUGUACAGAUAUGAUUUUAAAAUACUUUCUCCUAGAAACAGUUUGAUGCAUCCAUUAGAUUUUGCUGAGAGUAUAACCCACUGCCUAAUACUUUCCAAAUUCUUUUCUGUGUAUGUAACUUUAUUUACCUACAGAGUAACUUUCUAUUUUUCUUCUGCCUCUUUCAUCUGUCUCUUUCAUCUGCCUACAAGCAUCACAUAUGUUUCAACUCUCUCUUAGCCUUUAUAAUACUUUCACUUUGUUUAACUCGGUUUUCUUUCUAUUUUUUAUUUGAUUUUAUUAUUGGAUUAUUUCUACCUUUCUCCAUUAGUUGCUCUGUUGCAGUCCCACAUGUUAAAAUGAUUUUUUCAGGCAAAGUAGAAUAAAGUUAAUGAUGGACAUUAUAUGGGCAAUGUUUUCACUCAAAAAAGUUUUGCUUUUAGAGAACUGAAAAAAGGAUGGGAAAGAGUGGUUAAAGAGUUGUGCAUUAGAAACUUACAACACAGCAAGUCAAAGUUAAUGCUGGGAGCAUUUCAUAAUUACAGGCUUAAUACAGUGAUGUUCCUGUGGGACUAAUGUGUUUCCAACAUUUUCAUAUGAAGGGAGUCAUGUUUCUUUCCAUUAUUGGAACAUCUCUUAAUUACUCUAUUUUUGCUUUAUCACCUGCAGGAAAAAGUCACAACAGAGAGUUGGAAACACUAAGAAGAACUCAAGAUUAAAAAAAAAAACCAACCAAUAAACAAUGCUAAAAUCACCCCUGAAUUGAACUGCCAAAGGACAAAACAGGUCCCUUUAGCUCAGUGCAUAGGAAGUGAUAGUGCUGGAAAGAUGUAGCAAAGCUUGCAGGUAGCUGCUGGACAUGCAUUAGGUUGUAACAGCCAGAGAGAAAGGUACUACUCCAAAGAAAAUCUGUUAUAGUAAAACAGUGACAGAACAAAGUCAAGAUCGCAUUUUUGUUAGACUUUUUUCCUCCUAUUUAUUUGAAGCUGUUUAUCUGGAGAUAAGAUAAAGAAGCAGUGUCAAAGAAAAGGAGUCCAGUAUUUUAACAGAGUGAAAAGGAAUGUCUCUUAAAAAGCUGAAAUUAGAUAUUAAGGAAAAAGUACACUAGAUAAUCAGUGCAACCGGUAAGGACUAGAGAUUGCUAUAUAAAUUGGGGCAUCAUGCUAGCAGAGGGGAGUCUUUCUCUGAUCACAUAAAUUAAAGGUGUGCCUGUACCAGUGUAAUAAUUACAUAAAGCAUCUCUUCAGAUACAGCACUGAAAGCUCUUUUGGAUACUCCAGGCUUAAAAGCAGAACACUAAUGCAUGAUUUUUAUUGCCAGCUGCCAUGGACCAGAACAAGAACAAAAAUGCCAGUCCUAAGCUCAGACAUUAAAUACAAGGAGUCUGUAUCCCUUCUAAAGAGGUAGUUAGGAAUUAGUGAAUUCUGAUAAUUAGACUUGCAUUAAUAUAUUAUAACAACAUUCCUUUAUCAAAAAAAGAAAUAACAUUUUGUCUGUUGGGAUUAAGCCAGAAGCUCAUAACAGCAUAUUUAAUUCUGCAGUAAUUCCUGGAUAUGUGGAUCAUGAAUGUCUCCUUUGGCUAAGUAUUAAGAUGAUAUUCAAAGCCAAUACAAAUGUUUCCAGCUUGUUCAACUGACUCCUGCAUCUACAACUAGACACUUGGCAGUAGCUGUUUUGUGACAAGAAGGCUUUCUGCAGUAUGUUACCCAAUUGUAUACUGAUAUUGUACAUCUUCAGUCACUGAUCAGUUUUCUGUUUUAUUUGUGAUUACUGCUCUAAUUCUACAUUGUUCAAUCUCAGCGAACUUUUUCCAGUUAUCUAAGACAUUUGAUGAUGUACGGACCACCAUAAUGCAUGAAAAUUUCAGUAGCCUCACUGUUCUCAUUCAGAAUUUACCAAAUAUCUGAAUGCAAAGGCCUGCCUGCAGUGUGUUUGCACAUGAUUCUAUGAUAAAGUGUUAUUGAGAUAGCAAAAAUGAGCAGCACUUGUUACAGCCCUUGAGAUGCAGUGGGGGAAAAAUGAGAUUUGGAUUCAAAGUGGUGUAAAUAUAUAAUUGUGCAAAAAUAAAGCCUAACCAAAGUGAUACUACAUAGUCUAAGUUAAAAAAUAUUAUGAAUGUAGCUCAGUUGGCUCAACUGAGGAUCAUAACUCAGUGGAUAUACUUUAUGGCCUUGGACAAUUCAGCCACUCCAUGAUCUAUUUUUCAACUUUUACGUAAAGGAAAAUACAAUUGCAUUUCAUUUUUGUGCAUAUAUUUGAAGGAAGAAUUCUGCAUAGAUUAAAGAUUAAUUAAAAUAAAUGGACUAAGACUCUACAUAGUUUUUAUGAAAUGCACAUUGUGUAAUGAACUAUUGAACAGUAAUUGAGAAAGAGGAGUAAAAGGAAAAAACAUAGAAAAUCCAGCCUUCAAUUAGAAUUCAAAUAAUGUCAUUGAAGUUCCUCUUCAGACCUACUCUUAGGUACUUUACAUUUCUGCUCGGUAACAAAAGUUUAAUUCAGACUUGGCUCAGUCCAGAAAAAUUUUCAUAAUAUAUUAAUCAUUACAUGGAGCAAGGUAA